Molecule: ribosomal RNA, 1423 nt
Filed under: Hordeum vulgare subsp. vulgare (domesticated barley)
Lineage: Eukaryota; Viridiplantae; Streptophyta; Magnoliopsida; Poales; Poaceae
Description: eukaryotic LSU rRNA
Rfam family: Eukaryotic large subunit ribosomal RNA
Source: RNAcentral
UCAAACUUUAAAUAGGUAGGAUGGCUCGGCUGCUUCGGUGAGUCGUGCUACGGAAUCAGGUUCUCCAAGUGGGCCAUUUUUGGUAAGCAGAACUGGCGAUGGGGGAUGAACCGGAAGUCGUGUUACGGUGCCUAACUGUGCGCUAACCUAGAACCCAAAAAGGGUGUUGGUCGAUUAAGACAGUAGCAUGGUGUUCAUGGAAGUCGAAAUCCGCUAAGGAGUGUGUAACUACUCACCUGGCGAAUCAACUAGCCCCGAAAAUGGAUGGCACUGAAGCGCGCGACCCACAGUCGGCCAUCUGGGCGAGUGCCAUGCCCCGAUGAGUAGGAGGGCGAGGCGGCCUCUUCAAAACCUGGGGUGCGAGCCCGGGGGGAGCAGCUGUCGGUGCAAAUCUUGGUGGUAGUAGCAAAUAUUCAAAUGAGAACUUUGAAGGCCGAAGAGGAGAAAUUUUCCAUUAGAACGACACUUGCACAUGGGUAAGCCGAUCCUAAGGGACGGGGUAACCCCGGCAGAUAGCGAAAUCACGCCCAUCCCCCGAAAGGGAAUCGGGUUAAGAUUUCCUGAACCGGUAUGUGGCGGUUGAUGGCGACGUUAGGAAUUCCGGAGACGUCGGAGGGGGCCUCGGGGAGAGUUAUCUUUUCUGCUUAAUGACCUGCCAACCUUACAAACGGUUCAGACGGAGGUAGGGUCCAGUGGCCGGAAGAGCAUCACACGUCGUGCGGUGUCCGGUGCGCCCUGAGUGGCCUAUGAAAAUCCGGAGGACCGAGUACCAUACAAGCCCCGAUCGUACUCAUAACCGCAUUAGGUCUCCAAGGUGAACAUCCUCUGGCCAAUGGAACAAUGUAGGCAAGGGAAGUUAGCAAAACGGAGCCGUAACUUCAGGAAAAGGAUUGGCUCUGAGGACUGGGCUCGGGGGUCCCGGCCCCGAACCCAUUGGCUGUUGACGGAUUGCUUGAGUUGCUCAUGCGGCGAGAGCGGGUCGCCGCGUGCCGGCCGGGGGCUUUCCCUGAGCAUGAAUCAGUAGACUCUGAACUGGUACGAACAAGGGGAAUCUGACUAUUUAAUUAAAACAAAGAAUUGCAAUGGUCCUCGCGGAUGCCGACGCAAUGUGAUUUCUACCCAUUGCCCUGAAUGUCAAAGUGAAGAAAUUCAACCAAGAGCAGGUAAACGGCGGGAGUAACUAUGACUCUCUUAAGGUAGCCAAAUGCCUCGUCAUCUAUUAAGUGACUCAUAUGAAUGGAUUAACGAGAUUCCCAAUGUCUACUAUCCAGCGAAACCAUAACCAAGGGAACGGGCUUCGCGGAAUCAGCGGGGAAAGAAGACCUUGUUUAGAUUAACUCUAGUCCAACUUUGUGAAAUGACUUGAGAGGUGUAUGAUAAGUGGGAGACCUUACGGGCGCAAGUGAAAUACCACUACUUUUAA